Drosophila mojavensis is the source of this 1449-nucleotide long non-coding RNA. RefSeq lists it as uncharacterized. NCBI's taxonomy places the organism in Eukaryota, Metazoa, Arthropoda, Insecta, Diptera, Drosophilidae. The transcript has 3 exons. The record is from RefSeq and is a predicted model, not a curated record.
AAAAUCAGGAGUCUAUAUAAGCUGGAAUCGUAACUAUGUCUGUCAUGGAUUUCUCGUUGUCUCUUGUGCACGAGGAGUGUAUACGCAGUGUGCUGUAGAAGCACAGAAUUUUAAUUUUGUGCCGGUGGAUCUAGUUCUACGAAAUUGCCUUGAGCAUUCCGCUAUUUUUGGAAAUGUAAAGUGAACAUGUGCGAAGGUUACCAUACCCCUAAACCCUCCUGUGGGGUUUAUCUGAAAGCGAGACUGUCGAUAUAUAUUAUCGAUAAAUAUUACGUUCAAAUGGCUCGCCUCGUAAAAUUGCUUGUUAUUAAAACUUCAAUGGAUGCAAUAAAUAUACUAGGUUUAAAUUGAACGACCUGACGUUUUGAAGUCAUAUCGAGCUGGAAUAAUAACGAUGUCUAUAUCGCACCUGACGUUGAUCUUAAUACAAUUGUUGUCUCUGUGGACGUGGAAUGCAAGUGCAAUAUGCUGUCCUGCAACGACCAUAACUUUUCGUUUAAAUUGUGACGAUCUUUGUAAAUCCUUGUAUCCUGCAACGGAAAAGGGUGGGUAUUGCGCUACAGAUGCGUGUGGAAGUGCUAAGCCUCCGCCCUGCUGUAUAGAUAACAAAUGUAGGCAAUGUUCUGCAAGCGUAUGUGGAGGUUUAAACAAAGCUCAGCCCUGUUGUGGAACGGGAACUUGCAAUAUAUUCUGCUGCAAAUGUAAUCGGGGCUGUUGGCCUGGAAAUCCUUUUGACGAUUUUUAUGUGACACAUGCUGAUGUCUUGUUCCUCAAUUAGCAAAUCAAAUUAAAUCAAAUUCCUCAGUAAUCGGGAGGCUGUUUAUCUAACGAAGAUGAAUCUUAGAAAUCUGGAGCAAUAUUAAACUCAAAAGGACACACCUGAAAGCAAUCUGAUCGACUUUGCAUUUAAUAGUACCAGAUAGGAUUUUUUGUUCUUACUCAUUAUCAAAACAACUCAUUAGCCACAACUAACUCGUUCAGUCAUUCCUAUUCGCUCCACUUAUAAAAUAAACUUGAUUAUAAUUUCGUCACAUUUAACCUAGGCUCACUUUCAUCGACUUGAAAACCAGAGGUCUUUAUAAGCUGGAAUCGUAAUCAUGUCAGUCGUAAAUCUGUCGUUGAUUUUGAUACACCUGUUGUCUCUUGGGACGAAGAGUGCAUACGCAGAAUGCUGUAUGAGCACAGAAUUUUUCUUUCAUUCAAAUGGAGUUAGUUGUACAAAUCUGCCUCCAGCAUUCGACUAUAUUUGGAAAUGUAAAGUGGACACAUGCGGUGGUUUACAUAACCCUGCGCCCUGCUGUGGAAUUGGACUUUGCAAUAUUUUCUGCUGCAAUUGUUAUCUCGGCUGCUGGCCUGGAAAUCCUGUGAAACAAUUUUAUGAAAAAUAUGAGGCUUAUAUAUAUGACGAAAUAAAAAGUUCUUCGUAAUGGGGAGACUGUUUAUCUGAAA